Molecule: long non-coding RNA, 331 nt
Filed under: Physcomitrium patens
Lineage: Eukaryota; Viridiplantae; Streptophyta; Bryopsida; Funariales; Funariaceae
Description: long non-coding RNA (PPAT_LNC002126)
Source: RNAcentral
UACCGUAAACCAUCAACUAGAAUACGGCGCAAAUGAAGGUUCCAAUAUUUUCAUCUUUAUCUUUUCUUUUAAUAGUUCAACCAAUUUAGGUAAAUGUACCCUCGAUACUGGAAUCGGUCUUAGAUUCCAAGGUACAUGUGGUACAGUGAAGAUAACCAUAGGUGUUACAAUAUUUGGAUCCACACACCCAAUUUCAUGAGAUUUGAAGGCAAAUGAUUUACCAUAUUUAGCCAACAUCUUUUUGAAGCAAGUAAUUUCCUCUGGUAAUAAAGAACCAUCAGAACCAAUCUUCAAUUCUUCAAAAGUCUCUUUAGUAAACUGAUGUCCAAUA